RNAcentral lists this ribosomal RNA (515 nucleotides) under uncultured bacterium. Its description in RNAcentral is "partial 16S ribosomal RNA". It matches the Rfam family "Bacterial small subunit ribosomal RNA", at positions 28 to 523 of the family's 1533-position model. The record is from RNAcentral.
GAUGAACGCUGGCGGCGUGCCUAAUACAUGCAAGUCGAGCGAAUGGAUUGAGAGCUUGCUCUUAUGAAGUUAGCGGCGGACGGGUGAGUAACACGUGGGUAACCUGCCCAUAAGACUGGGAUAACUCCGGGAAACCGGGGCUAAUACCGGAUAACAUUUUUAACCGCAUGGUUCGAAAUUGAAAGGCGGCUUCGGCUGUCACUUAUGGAUGGACCCGCGUCGCAUUAGCUAGUUGGUGAGGUAACGGCUCACCAAGGCAACGAUGCGUAGCCGACCUGAGAGGGGGAUCGGCCACACUGGGACUGAGACACGGCCCAGACUCCUACGGGAGGCAGCAGUAGGGAAUCUUCCGCAAUGGACGAAAGUCUGACGGAGCAACGCCGCGUGAGUGAUGAAGGCUUUCGGGUCGUAAAACUCUGUUGUUAGGGAAGAACAAGUGCUAGUUGAAUAAGCUGGCACCUUGACGGUACCUAACCAGAAAGCCACGGCUAACUACGUGCCAGCCGCCGCGGUAA